GAGCGGAUGAAGGGAGCUUGCUCUCUGAUUCAGCGGCGGACGGGUGAGUAAUGCCUAGGAAUCUGCCUGGUAGUGGGGGACAACGUUUCGAAAGGAACGCUAAUACCGCAUACGUCCUAUGGGAGAAAGCAGGGGACCUUCGGGCCUUGCGCUAUCAGAUGAGCCUAGGUCGGAUUAGCUAGUUGGUGAGGUAAUGGCUCACCAAGGCGACGAUCCGUAACUGGUCUGAGAGGAUGAUCAGUCACACUGGAACUGAGACACGGUCCAGACUCCUACGGGAGGCAGCAGUGGGGAAUAUUGGACAAUGGGCGAAAGCCUGAUCCAGCCAUGCCGCGUGUGUGAAGAAGGUCUUCGGAUUGUAAAGCACUUUAAGUUGGGAGGAAGGGUUGCUGAUUAAUACUCUGCAAUUUUGACGUUACCGACAGAAUAAGCACCGGCUAACUCUGUG
This 448-nucleotide ribosomal RNA is filed under the name uncultured bacterium. RNAcentral describes it as "bacterial SSU rRNA". It matches the Rfam family "Bacterial small subunit ribosomal RNA", at positions 64 to 507 of the family's 1533-position model. The record is from RNAcentral.